UGAACGCUGGCGGCGUGCCUAAUACAUGCAAGUCGAGCGAACGGACGAGAAGCUUGCUUCUCUGAUGUUAGCGGCGGACGGGUGAGUAACACGUGGAUAACCUACCUAUAAGACUGGGAUAACUUCGGGAAACCGGAGCUAAUACCGGAUGAUAUUUUGAACCGCAUGGUUCAAAAGUGAAAGACGGUCUUGCUGUCACUUAUAGAUGGAUCCGCGCUGCAUUAGCUAGUUGGUAAGGUAACGGCUUACCAAGGCAACGAUGCAUAGCCGACCUGAGAGGGUGAUCGGCCACACUGGAACUGAGACACGGUCCAGACUCCUACGGGAGGCAGCAGUAGGGAAUCUUCCGCAAUGGGCGAAAGCCUGACGGAGCAACGCCGCGUGAGUGAUGAAGGUCUUCGGAUCGUAAAACUCUGUUAUUAGGGAAGAACAUAUGUGUAAGUAACUGUGCACAUCUUGACGGUACCUAAUCAGAGAGCCACGGCUAACUACGUG
This 495-nucleotide ribosomal RNA is filed under the name uncultured bacterium. RNAcentral's name for it is "partial 16S ribosomal RNA". It matches the Rfam family "Bacterial small subunit ribosomal RNA", at positions 30 to 507 of the family's 1533-position model. The record is from RNAcentral.